AUUGAACGCUGGCGGCAUGCCUUACACAUGCAAGUCGAACGGCAGCACGGGAGCAAUCCUGGUGGCGAGUGGCGAACGGGUGAGUAAUAUAUCGGAACGUGCCCAGUCUGGGGAUAACGUAGCGAAAGCUACGCUAAUACCGCAUACGAUCUAUGGAUGAAAGCGGGGGAUCGCAAGACCUCGCGCGAUUGGAGCGGCUGAUAUCAGAUUAGGUAGUUGGUGAGGUAAGGACGUCACCAAGCCGACGAUCUGUAGCUGGUCUGAGAGGACGACCAGCCACACUGGGACUGAGACACGGCCCAGACUCCUACGGGAGGCAGCAGUGGGGAAUUUUUGGACAAUGGGCGC
RNAcentral lists this ribosomal RNA (348 nucleotides) under uncultured bacterium. RNAcentral's name for it is "bacterial SSU rRNA". It matches the Rfam family "Bacterial small subunit ribosomal RNA", at positions 30 to 378 of the family's 1533-position model. The record is from RNAcentral.